GGGCGUGUGGUCUAGUGGUAUGAUACCCGCUUUGGGAUUUUCAAAAUUCUAAAAUAUGCGGGUGGCCCGGGGUUCAAUUCCCCGCUCGCCCC
Molecule: transfer RNA, 92 nt
Organism: Naumovozyma dairenensis CBS 421
Lineage: Eukaryota; Fungi; Ascomycota; Saccharomycetes; Saccharomycetales; Saccharomycetaceae
Rfam family: tRNA
About the family: Transfer RNA (tRNA) molecules are approximately 80 nucleotides in length.
Source: Rfam